This 468-nucleotide ribosomal RNA is filed under the name uncultured bacterium. Its description in RNAcentral is "partial 16S ribosomal RNA". It matches the Rfam family "Bacterial small subunit ribosomal RNA", at positions 28 to 507 of the family's 1533-position model. The record is from RNAcentral.
GACGAACGCUGGCGGCGUGCUUAACACAUGCAAGUCGAACGGAAAGGCCCUGCUUUUGUGGGGUGCUCGAGUGGCGAACGGGUGAGUAACACGUGUGUAACCUGCCCUUUACUUUGGGAUAACUUCAGGAAACUGGGGCUAAUACCGGAUAGGAUCUCCUGCUGCAUGGUGGUGGUUGGAAAGUUUCGGCGGUUGGGGAUGGACUCGCGGCUUAUCAGCUUGUUGGUGGGGUAGUGGCUUACCAAGGCUUUGACGGGUAGCCGGCCUGAGAGGGUGACCGGCGACAAUGGGACUGAGAUACGGACCAGAAUCCUACGGGAGGCAGCAGUGGGGAAUAUUGCACAAUGGGCGGAAGCCUGAUGCAGCAACGCCGCGUGCGGGAUGACGGCCUUCGGGUUGUAAACCGCUUUCGAAUGUGACGAAGCGUGAGUGACGGUAAUGGGUAAAGAAGCACCGGCUAACUACGUG